Strigops habroptila (Kakapo) is the source of this 1076-nucleotide long non-coding RNA. RefSeq lists it as uncharacterized. The record is from RefSeq and is a predicted model, not a curated record. NCBI's taxonomy places the organism in Eukaryota, Metazoa, Chordata, Aves, Psittaciformes, Psittacidae. The transcript has 2 exons.
GAGGACGAAGUGGAAUGCUGCUUCUGAUGCUGGAGCCAUUUCUGUUCGUGUCCAGCUGCUUUUUCCAAACAACAACUUCACUGCCAAUCAUCAUCGCCUUGCAGAAACUGCUGUUCCUCUCUCAAUGAACUGCUGGCACCACACAGUGCAGAGAGGACAAAGCUCCAAAGCCUUUGACACCUGAUUCACAGCACGUUGGCAGAGUGAUAAGAAUUUGCAAUACCUUCAGCACAGAAAGACACAUGGCAAAUGCCCUCUGUCCUUCCCUGGACCUCAUCCAGUCACCUAGAGGACUACUUCUCCUCAUGCAAAUGAAUCCUCUAGCUGGAAACUAUUGCUCUGGACCGCUGCAGCCCUUCAUCUCCCAAGUAGACCAGUGAUGUGCCAUACCCACAGAGUCCAAAGCUGUACGGGACUUUGGGCUAGGUUCUGUAUUUCAGGGAAAGGACCUUUUUGUAAAGAGCAACGAUUUCUGCUCUGUGCAAAUGUUAUAAUAGGGAUUUUUCACUUUGCAGUUGAAGGAGAAACUGACUGGGCUGCAAAACUGCCCAGAUCCCUGCAGCUGCCUGAGGGGACAAUCACAAAAGCCAAGUUCACCCUCUUAGGAGACUUUUCCCCAAUAGCCCUGGUCAGCGAGGAGGAAGGCAAAUCAGCUCCUCCAGGCAGCCACAGCCUCCCUGGCCCCCUCCACUAGGAACAUGGCAGCGACCAAGGCUGUGGUCAUCAACUCCUUCUACUGAGGAAUUCAUACCUUGGUGAGCUUGGCUUUGGUUACAAGAUUAAUUUCACUCACUUCUUUCUCUAAGGCUUUAAAUAAUAUAAACCAGAACAUUUUAAAAAGUUCUAAAUGCUUUAAAAACAUACCUCAAAUGGGCUUUCGUCAGAACAGAGAAACAAUUGCUAUUAAGACAUCUGUAAAUAGCUUAUUCCUUAUCCUAGUGCAUGCAGGAAUGUGGCGUCAGGUCUGUGAAAGCUUCCCAACAUAUGGGGAAAACUGGAUAAAACCCAAACAGACCAGAAACUUUUUAUGUGUGUGAAAAAGAGUUUGCAAAUAAAAAUGAAAUGCGAAUAUUGUA